UAGGGAAUUUUCCACAAUGGGGGCAACCCUGAUGGAGCAACGCCGCGUGCAGGAGGAAGGCCUUCGGGUCGUAAACUGCUUUUAUUUGUGACGAUUUUGACGGUAGCAAAUGAAUAAGGAUCGGCUAACUCCGUGCCAGCAGCCGCGGUCAUACGGAGGAUCCAAGCGUUAUCCGGAAUUACUGGGCGUAAAGAGUUGCGUAGGUGGUCGUUUUAGUCUCUGUUUAAAUAUCCAGGCUCAACCUGGAAGCGGGCAGGGAAACUGGACGACUUGAGCAUAGUAGAGGUAACUGGAAUUGCUAGUGUAGGAGUGAAAUCCGUAGAUAUUAGCAGGAACACCGAUGGCGUAGGCAGGUUACUGGGCUAUUGCUGACACUAAGGCACGAAAGCGUGGGGAGCGAACGGG
Molecule: ribosomal RNA, 405 nt
Filed under: uncultured bacterium
Lineage: Bacteria
Description: bacterial SSU rRNA
Rfam family: Bacterial small subunit ribosomal RNA
Source: RNAcentral